This 661-nucleotide ribosomal RNA is filed under the name Erythrobacter sp. Pbc-cont2a. Its description in RNAcentral is "bacterial SSU rRNA". It matches the Rfam family "Bacterial small subunit ribosomal RNA", at positions 31 to 735 of the family's 1533-position model. The record is from RNAcentral. Lineage: Bacteria; Pseudomonadati; Pseudomonadota; Alphaproteobacteria; Sphingomonadales; Erythrobacteraceae.
GAACGCUGGCGGCAUGCCUAACACAUGCAAGUCGAACGAAGCCUUCGGGCUUAGUGGCGCACGGGUGCGUAACGCGUGGGAACCUGCCUUUAGGUUCGGAAUAACUCAGAGAAAUUUGAGCUAAUACCGGAUAAUGUCUUCGGACCAAAGAUUUAUCGCCUUUAGAUGGGCCCGCGUUAGAUUAGAUAGUUGGUGGGGUAAUGGCCUACCAAGUCGACGAUCUAUAGCUGGUCUGAGAGGAUGAUCAGCCACACUGGGACUGAGACACGGCCCAGACUCCUACGGGAGGCAGCAGUGGGGAAUAUUGGACAAUGGGCGAAAGCCUGAUCCAGCAAUGCCGCGUGAGUGAUGAAGGCCUUAGGGUUGUAAAGCUCUUUUACCAGGGAUGAUAAUGACAGUACCUGGAGAAUAAGCUCCGGCUAACUCCGUGCCAGCAGCCGCGGUAAUACGGAGGGAGCUAGCGUUGUUCGGAAUUACUGGGCGUAAAGCGCGCGUAGGCGGCUUUUUAAGUCAGGGGUGAAAUCCCGGGGCUCAACCCCGGAACUGCCCUUGAAACUGGAUGGCUAGAAUACUGGAGAGGUGAGUGGAAUUCCGAGUGUAGAGGUGAAAUUCGUAGAUAUUCGGAAGGAACACCAGUGGCGAAAGGCGAACUCACUGGACA